RNAcentral lists this unclassified non-coding RNA (566 nucleotides) under Hevea brasiliensis (rubber tree). The record is from RNAcentral. Lineage: Eukaryota; Viridiplantae; Streptophyta; Magnoliopsida; Malpighiales; Euphorbiaceae.
GAUACCUGAUGAUCUCAUACAGGUUCAAGCUUAUAUAAGAUGGGAAAAAGCAGGUAAACCCAAUUAUUCUCCAGAGCAGCAACAGAGGGAAUUUGAGGAAGCAAGAGAAGAAUUGCAGAAAGAACUGGAAAGAGGUGUAUCUCUCGAUGACUUGCGUAAGAAGAUCACUAAAGGAGAGAUCCAAAGCAAGGUUUCAAAGCAGCUGGAGAAAAAAGGAUAUUUUAGUAUUGAAAGGAUUCAGCGUAAAAAGAGGGACUUAGCACAGCUUGUCACCAAAUAUGCUGCUAAAUAUGCCGAGGAAGAUGUUUCAGUAGAACCAAAACUAAAGGCCUUGAAGGCAGUUGAACUUUUUGCUAAAGAAAAGGAAGAACAGGCUGGUGAUGCUGUUCUGAACAAAAAGAUCUUUAAGCUCCAUGACGGACAACUGCUGGUGCUUGUGACCAAGGCUGCUGGUAAGACGAAGAUUUAUGUUGCCACUGAUUUCGAAGAGCCGGUCACUCUUCACUGGGCGUUAUCUAGAAAGGGUAGAGAGUGGUUGGCACCGCCACUGACUGUGUUGCCUCCUG